AUUGAACGCUGGCGGCAUGCUUUACACAUGCAAGUCGAACGGCAGCGCGGGCUUCGGCCUGGCGGCGAGUGGCGAACGGGUGAGUAAUGCAUCGGAACGUGCCCAGUAGUGGGGGAUAGCCCGGCGAAAGCCGGAUUAAUACCGCAUACGACCUGAGGGUGAAAGCGGGGGACCGAAAGGCCUCGCGCUAUUGGAGCGGCCGAUGUCGGAUUAGCUAGUUGGGGGGGUAAAGGCUUACCAAGGCGACGAUCCGUAGCUGGUCUGAGAGGACGACCAGCCACACUGGGACUGAGACACGGCCCAGACUCCGACGGUAGGCAGCAGUGGGGAAUUUUAGACGAUGGAGGAAACCCUGAUCCAGCCAUGCCGCGUGCGGGAAGAAGGCCUUCGGGUUGUAAACCGCUUUUGUUCGGGAAGAAGUCCUCUGGGCUAAUACCCCGGGGGGAUGACGGUACCGGAAGAAUAAGCACCGGCUAACUACGUG
RNAcentral lists this ribosomal RNA (484 nucleotides) under uncultured bacterium. RNAcentral describes it as "partial 16S ribosomal RNA". It matches the Rfam family "Bacterial small subunit ribosomal RNA", at positions 29 to 507 of the family's 1533-position model. The record is from RNAcentral.